GACGUACCCAACGAAUAAGCACCCGGCUAACUACGUGCCAGCAGCCGCGGUAAUACGAAGGAGGCAAGCGUUAAUCCGGAUUCACUUGGGCGUAAAAGAGCGCGUAGGCGGCCUACUAAAGCCAGUUGGGAAACCUCCCRGCCCAAACUGGGAGAGGCCAAAGGRAAACGGGCGGGCUUAGGAAGGGCGAGCAAGGAAGGGAGGUGGGAAUCCCCGGUGGUAACCAGGUGAAAUGCGUAGAGAUCAGGGAGGAACACCCAGUGGCGAAGGCGGCUACCUGGGCUGANACUGACGCUGAGGCGCGAAAGCGUGGGGWGCAAACAGGAUUAGAUACCCUGGUAGUCCACGCCGUAAACGAU
This 359-nucleotide ribosomal RNA is filed under the name uncultured delta proteobacterium. RNAcentral describes it as "bacterial SSU rRNA". It matches the Rfam family "Bacterial small subunit ribosomal RNA", at positions 471 to 810 of the family's 1533-position model. Lineage: Bacteria; Deltaproteobacteria. The record is from RNAcentral.